GAUGAACGCUGGCGGCGUGCCUAAUACAUGCAAGUCGAGCGAACAGACGAGGAGCUUGCUCCUCUGACGUUAGCGGCGGACGGGUGAGUAACACGUGGAUAACCUACCUAUAAGACUGGGAUAACUUCGGGAAACCGGAGCUACUACCGGAUAAUAUAUUGAACCGCAUGGUUCAAUAGUGAAAGACGGUUUUGCUGUCACUUAUAGAUGGAUCCGCGCCGCAUUAGCUAGUUGGUAAGGUAACGGCUUACCAAGGCGACGAUGCGUAGCCGACCUGAGAGGGUGAUCGGCCACACUGGAACUGAGACACGGUCCAGACUCCUACGGGAGGCAGCAGUAGGGAAUCUUCCGCAAUGGGCGAAAGCCUGACGGAGCAACGCCGCGUGAGUGAUGAAGGUCUUCGGAUCGUAAAACUCUGUUAUUAGGGAAGAACAAAUGUGAAAGUAACUAUGCACGUCUUGACGGUACCUAAUCAGAAAGCCACGGCUAACUACGUG
RNAcentral lists this ribosomal RNA (497 nucleotides) under uncultured bacterium. RNAcentral's name for it is "partial 16S ribosomal RNA". It matches the Rfam family "Bacterial small subunit ribosomal RNA", at positions 28 to 507 of the family's 1533-position model. The record is from RNAcentral.